UUAUGAAGGUGAGGGUAAUUUUUUAGCAUAGCCUUGAAUAUUUCCAAAGCUUAGUAAAUAUUCUCUCCUUCUUUCUGCCUGAAACUCAGAAUCUCACUUCUCAAAUG
Molecule: non-coding RNA, 107 nt
Organism: Capsicum annuum
Lineage: Eukaryota; Viridiplantae; Streptophyta; Magnoliopsida; Solanales; Solanaceae
Source: Rfam